RNAcentral lists this transfer RNA (71 nucleotides) under Loxodonta africana (African savanna elephant). It matches the Rfam family "tRNA". Rfam says of the family: Transfer RNA (tRNA) molecules are approximately 80 nucleotides in length. Their secondary structure includes four short double-helical elements and three loops (D, anti-codon, and T loops). Further hydrogen bonds mediate the characteristic L-shaped molecular structure. tRNAs have two regions of fundamental functional importance: the anti-codon, which is responsible for specific mRNA codon recognition, and the 3' end, to which the tRNAs corresponding amino acid is attached (by aminoacyl-tRNA synthetases). tRNAs cope with the degeneracy of the genetic code in two manners: having more than one tRNA (with a specific anti-codon) for a particular amino acid; and 'wobble' base-pairing, i.e. permitting non-standard base-pairing at the 3rd anti-codon position. Lineage: Eukaryota; Metazoa; Chordata; Mammalia; Proboscidea; Elephantidae. The record is from Rfam by way of RNAcentral.
ACACUGGUGGUUCAAUAGUAGAAUUCUCACCUUCCAUGUUGGAGACCCAGGUUCGAUUCCCAGCCAAUGUA